CCGAAAGAUGGUGAACUAUGCCUGAGCAGGAUGAAGCCAGAGGAAACUCUGGUGGAAGUCCGUAUCGGUUCUGACGUGCAAAUCGAUCGAUAGACUUGGGUAUAGGGGCGAAAGACUAAUCGAACCAUCUAGUAGCUGGUUCCUUCCGAAGUUUCCCUCAGGAUAGCUGGAACUCUUGCAGUUAUAUUCGGUAAAGCUAAUGAUUAGAGGCCUUGGGGACGUAAUGUCCUCAACCUAUUCUCAAACUUUCAAUGGAUAUGGCGUCGCAGUUUCUUUAGUGAACUGCGGCGUGAAUGCGAGUUCCAAGUGGGCCAUUUUUGGUAAGCAGAACUGGCGCUGUGGGAUGAACCAAACGUGCAGUUAAGGUGCCUAACUUCUCGCUUAUGAGACCCUAUAAAAGGUGUUGGUUGAUAUUGACAGCAGGACGGUGGCCAUGGAAGUCGGUACCCCGCUAAGGAGUGUGUAACAACUCACCUGCCGAAUCAACUAGCCCUGAAAAUGGAUGGCGCUUAAGCGAGAGACCUAUACUCCGCCGUCGCGGCAUGUGCGUUGUCUAGCGCCAGGCCGCGACGAGUAGGAAGGACGUGGCGGUUGCGUUGAAGGCUAUGAGCGUAGGCUCGGCUGGAGCUUCCGUCAGUGCAGAUCGUAAUGGUAGUAGCAAAUAUUCAAGUUCGAUCCUUGAAGACUGAAGUGGAGAAGGGUUCCACGUGAACAGUAGUUGGAUGUGGGUCAGUCGAUCCUAAGGUACUGGCGAAAGCCUUGUAUCAUCGGUGGCGAAAAGCUUGCUUUUUGUCCCCGCCCGUCGAAAGGGAAUAGGGUUAAUAUUCCCUAACUGAGAUGCAAAGAUUGUGUUCUUCGGAGCACAAGCGCGGUAACGCGUUCGAACUUGGUAAGUCGCUCAGAGACCGAGCUAGAGUUUUCUUCUCUAGUUAAGGAACGGACUCCCUGGAAUUGGUUCAGCCAGAGAUGGGGACGUUGUUUCCGAAAAGCACCGCGGUUUCUGUGGUGUCUCGUGCUCUCUGAACGGCCCUUUAAACACCAAGGGAGGCUAUUAAUUUGCACUCAAUCGUACCGAUAUCCGCA
RNAcentral lists this non-coding RNA (1083 nucleotides) under Caenorhabditis japonica. RNAcentral's name for it is "Eukaryotic large subunit ribosomal RNA". It matches the Rfam family "Eukaryotic large subunit ribosomal RNA", at positions 816 to 1858 of the family's 3401-position model. The record is from Rfam by way of RNAcentral. Lineage: Eukaryota; Metazoa; Nematoda; Chromadorea; Rhabditida; Rhabditidae.